AUUGAACGCUGGCGGCAGGCUUAACACAUGCAAGUCGAACGGUAGCAGGUAAGUACUUGUACUUAUGCUGACGAGUGGCGGACGGGUGAGUAAUGCUUGGGGAUCUGGCUUAUGGAGGGGGAUAACUACGGGAAACUGUAGCUAAUACCGCGUAGAAUCGGAAGAUGAAAGUGCGGGACCGCAAGGCCGCAUGCCAUGAGAUGAGCCCAAGUGGGAUUAGGUAGUUGGUGGGGUAAGGGCCUACCAAGCCUGCGAUCUCUAGCUGGUCUGAGAGGAUGGCCAGCCACACUGGAACUGAGACACGGUCCAGACUCCUACGGGAGGCAGCAGUGGGGAAUAUUGCGCAAUGGGGGGAACCCUGACGCAGCCAUGCCGCGUGAAUGAAGAAGGCCUUCGGGUUGUAAAGUUCUUUCGGUAUUGAGGAAGGUUGAUGUGUUAAUAGUACAUCAAAUUGACGUUAAAUACAGAAGAAGCACCGGCUAACUCCGUGCCAGCAGCCGCGGUAAUACGGAGGGUGCGAGCGUUAAUCGGAAUAACUGGGCGUAAAGGGCACGCAGGCGGUUAUUUAAGUGAGGUGUGAAAGCCCCGGGCUUAACCUGGGAAUUGCAUUUCAGACUGGGUAACUAGAGUACUUUAGGGAGGGGUAGAAUUCCACGUGUAGCGGUGAAAUGCGUAGAGAUGUGGAGGAAUACCGAAGGCGAAGGCAGCCCCUUGGGAAUGUACUGACGCUCAUGUGCGAAAGCGUGGGGAGCAAACAGG
RNAcentral lists this ribosomal RNA (759 nucleotides) under Haemophilus influenzae. RNAcentral describes it as "bacterial SSU rRNA". It matches the Rfam family "Bacterial small subunit ribosomal RNA", at positions 28 to 776 of the family's 1533-position model. The record is from RNAcentral. Lineage: Bacteria; Pseudomonadati; Pseudomonadota; Gammaproteobacteria; Pasteurellales; Pasteurellaceae.